GGCGCAGGAGACCCAUCUUCUUUUCUACAUGCUCCCUCCAUCGCAAACUAGGUGAUCAGUGAAGGUGUUGUGCUCCUGCGACACACAGAGAGAGGUCGUCUUGGAGAUGCCACUGCCCACCCAUUUAUGACUGCUGCAUCAGAGGAAAGCCAGCGCAGAUACCACCACGCCAUGUCCAAGCAAUUAUAGGCACAUGCAGAGGAAAGCCAUGGUGGUAAAGUGGACCUUCAGAUCAGGUUUCUGCACAGUGAUAUUAUCCAGCACAGCAGUGAUGUCCCAGCAGGCAGCUCUUGUCUGCCAAGGGGGCUUGCCUAGGAAAUGGUCCCCUCCUCUCUCUGGCUGCUAGUUUGGCACAACUGGUGGGAAAUAACUGGGGAAUGGCAAGUAUCUUUCCAUGCAUUGCCCAGCAGUGAGUAAAGGCAAACCAUUGUUUCCGGAUGACCCAGCCUACCUUGGUUUUAUGCGGGCAAUAAACACAUCGGCUUGGAUAGGAGCACCUUUUUA
Molecule: long non-coding RNA, 504 nt
Organism: Podarcis muralis (Common wall lizard)
Lineage: Eukaryota; Metazoa; Chordata; Lepidosauria; Squamata; Lacertidae
Source: RefSeq, a predicted model, not a curated record